RNAcentral lists this ribosomal RNA (56 nucleotides) under Bactericera cockerelli (potato/tomato psyllid). RNAcentral describes it as "partial small subunit ribosomal RNA". Lineage: Eukaryota; Metazoa; Arthropoda; Insecta; Hemiptera; Triozidae. The record is from RNAcentral.
GCUUAAAGUAAGAUAAGUCGUAACAUAGUAGAUGUACCGGAAGGUGUAUCUGGAGU